Molecule: ribosomal RNA, 264 nt
Filed under: uncultured archaeon
Lineage: Archaea
Description: partial 16S ribosomal RNA
Rfam family: Archaeal small subunit ribosomal RNA
Source: RNAcentral
CAGCCGUAAACAAUGUGCGUUAGGUGUGUCGGUAACCACGCGUUACUGAUGCGCCGAAGAGAAAUCGUGAAACGCACCACCUGGGAAGUACGGUCGCAGGCUGAAACUUAAAGGAAUUGGCGGGGGAGCACCACAACAGGUGGAGCCUGCGGUUUAAUUGGAUUCAACGCCGGACAUCUCACCGGAUAAGACAGCUGAAUGAUUCGUCAAUCGUGAAGGUUUUACAUACGACUAGCUGAGAGGAGGUGCAUGGCGUCAGUGACU